Molecule: ribosomal RNA, 584 nt
Filed under: Enterobacter cancerogenus
Lineage: Bacteria; Pseudomonadati; Pseudomonadota; Gammaproteobacteria; Enterobacterales; Enterobacteriaceae
Also listed under: 4 other names
Description: partial 23S ribosomal RNA
Rfam family: Bacterial large subunit ribosomal RNA
Source: RNAcentral
UUUUGUAUAAUGGGUCAGCGACUUAUAUUCUGUAGCAAGGUUAACCGUAUAGGGGAGCCGAAGGGAAACCGAGUCUUAACUGGGCGUUAAGUUGCAGGGUAUAGACCCGAAACCCGGUGAUCUAGCCAUGGGCAGGUUGAAGGUUGGGUAACACUAACUGGAGGACCGAACCGACUAAUGUUGAAAAAUUAGCGGAUGACCUGUGGCUGGGGGUGAAAGGCCAAUCAAACCGGGAGAUAGCUGGUUCUCCCCGAAAGCUAUUUAGGUAGCGCCUCGUGAACUCAUCUUCGGGGGUAGAGCACUGUUUCGGCUAGGGGGCCAUCCCGGCUUACCAACCCGAUGCAAACUACGAAUACCGAAGAAUGUUAUCACGGGAGACACACGGCGGGUGCUAACGUCCGUCGUGAAGAGGGAAACAACCCAGACCGCCAGCUAAGGUCCCAAAGUCAUGGUUAAGUGGGAAACGAUGUGGGAAGGCACAGACAGCCAGGAUGUUGGCUUAGAAGCAGCCAUCAUUUAAAGAAAGCGUAAUAGCUCACUGGUCGAGUCGGCCUGCGCGGAAGAUGUAACGGGGCUAAACCAUG